GCCACAGCUCAGCUGGAAGAGCACCUGCCUUGCAUGUGGCAGGAGGGCCCAGCUUCAAUCCCCACUGGUAUCUCUG
This is a non-coding RNA of Podarcis lilfordi (Lilford's wall lizard), 76 nucleotides long. Lineage: Eukaryota; Metazoa; Chordata; Lepidosauria; Squamata; Lacertidae. The record is from the annotation of a GenBank genome assembly.